RNAcentral lists this long non-coding RNA (1001 nucleotides) under Numida meleagris (helmeted guineafowl). RNAcentral describes it as "lncRNA (ENSNMEG00000018322.1)". The record is from RNAcentral. Lineage: Eukaryota; Metazoa; Chordata; Aves; Galliformes; Numididae.
CUUGCAGUGCACGUUUCAUCUUGCACUGAAGUUCUCAUGGCAGCUUUAUGUCUUCAUGCUCCAGGCUAGAGCUAAUUCAGCACAAAUCUAGAACAGCUGAUGUUGAUGGCUGAUCUUGAAUAAGGUUCUACUGGAAUAGGGACUUGGAAAUGAAAAUUGCUGGUUGGGAGAUCUUAAACCACUUCAGGAGUUUGAAUUGAAAACAUUUCUAAUCAAACACUAAGUGCCCUAGAACUCUGUUGAUUACUGCCUGGAACCACCAGCUGAAGAGUUCAUCACAGCUGCAUCACAUCUUUACUCCCUGCUCUCCUUCCCUUGAAAGUGUAUGUUGUAUGGGAGAAUAGGCAACAAUGUAUCUGUCAGGCUGCUUGAGCUGACUAAUGUAGUAUUCCAGGCGAUAAGGAACACAUGCAGAUAUUUUUUUCCUAUUGAUUAGAGAGCUAUUCAAUGUUUAUGAAGUGGAGGCGUGAAGUAAAGAUACAGAAUUUUCUCAAGUGGAUUUGAUUCCCAUCUUAUCACUGAUGUAAAAUCAGGAGCUUCUCUACUGAAGAUGAAUCACUUAUGCUGUGUAGAGGAAAUGAAGAAAUCUCCACUGCAGUGUCAUCAGUGCUGCAAAGACCAUACAAUGAAGCUGCAAACAAAUAAUUCUCAACUGCAAUUCAGAAAAUCUGCUUAGGAGUCAUAUCUUCACUGGCUUCAUCUUGCUGAUCUUGAUUUUGUCUGGAAUUAGCUACAAUUAAUUUGGGUAAUAUUUUUCACAGUGUUCAUGAUAUAUUGAGAUAAAUGCUAAGCUCUUGCGCAUGUUUAUAAGGUCAAGUUUUAAAAUGUAUUUAUUUAUUUCUGCUAGUGUCACAAGGCCACAAUUUGAAGAGUACUUAGUCUUGAUGAACAAUUCUUGGUAUUGGUGUUUAUAGACUCCAGUCCAUAACAGGAAAGAAUAUAUGCUAUCAGUUACUGCCAACUUACAGCCUGUUGUUGGCCAGACUUACCCCAGUGAGUAC